UCUCGCUACUCUGAGGACGACGACUAUGGUGACAAGGAGAUCCAUGCUGCCUACGGUGUCGACACCAAUUGGUACCAGGACUCCGGUGCUACUCAUCAUAUCACGAGUGAGCUCAACAACUUGACGUUCCGCGAUACCUACAAGGGUUCCGACAGGGUUAACACCGCCAAUGGGCAAGGUCACCAGGAGAAUCAUUCAUAGAGGACGAUGUGUUGGCGGUCUCUACCCUCUUAUAUCAUCCUUGGCGUCUUCAGGGUCCAUGAAGCAUGCUUUUGGGGCUGCCAAACUCGGCCAAUCUCAGUGGCAUAGUCGUUUAGGUCAUCCUUCCUUAGUCGUUGUUAGGCAAAUAAUAAGUAAGCACAAGCUUCCAUGUGUUAGAGAUACCAGCGUUGUGUCAGUUUGUGACUCCUGCCAGCAGGGUAAAAGUCACCAGCUUCCCUAUCCUAUUUCUACUAGUGUUUCUACAGCCCCUCUUCAGUUAGUCUUCUCUGAUGUAUGGGGUCCUGCUCCUACUUCUGUCGGUCGUCAUGAUUACUAUGUAAGCUUUAUUGAUGAUUAUAGCAAGUUUACUUGGAUCUACCUGCUCAAACAUAAAUCUGAUGCCUUA
This is a long non-coding RNA of Lolium rigidum, 607 nucleotides long. RefSeq lists it as uncharacterized. The transcript has 2 exons. NCBI's taxonomy places the organism in Eukaryota, Viridiplantae, Streptophyta, Magnoliopsida, Poales, Poaceae. The record is from RefSeq and is a predicted model, not a curated record.